RNAcentral lists this ribosomal RNA (301 nucleotides) under uncultured bacterium. RNAcentral's name for it is "partial 16S ribosomal RNA". It matches the Rfam family "Bacterial small subunit ribosomal RNA", at positions 509 to 807 of the family's 1533-position model. The record is from RNAcentral.
CAGCCGCCACGGGAAUACGGAGGGAGCUAGCGUUGUUCGGAAUUACUGGGCGUAAAGCGCGCGUAGGCGGUUACUCAAGUCAGAGGUGAAAGCCCGGGGCUCAACCCCGGAACUGCCUUUGAAACUAGGUGACUAGAAUCUUGGAGAGGUCAGCGGAAUUCCGAGUGUAGAGGUGAAAUUCGUAGAUAUUCGGAAGAACACCAGUGGCGAAGGCGACUGACUGGACAAGUAUUGACGCUGAGGUGCGAAAGCGUGGGGAGCAAACAGGAUUAGAUACCCCCGUAGUCCCUGUCUCUUAUAC